AUGAAAUUGAAGGAUUUCUAUUAACUUGCAAAAUCAGAAUAGUAUUGUCAAAGUGCAACAUUAUUUCAAUUUACUAAAAACUCAAAAAUGCUUGAUCGUUAAGAACUUCUUUGGAAGUCAAGUUAAAAGUCCAGGUGGAUUAAUAUUCUUAGGAUAACUGGCCAAGUAUAUGUGCUAUAUUGAGUCUUCAGUUUAGGUUCUGUAUAUAUAGAUUCCUAGCCAAAAAU
Molecule: ribosomal RNA, 227 nt
Filed under: Triticum aestivum (bread wheat)
Lineage: Eukaryota; Viridiplantae; Streptophyta; Magnoliopsida; Poales; Poaceae
Description: partial small subunit ribosomal RNA
Source: RNAcentral